This is a non-coding RNA of Pelobates cultripes (western spadefoot toad), 403 nucleotides long. Lineage: Eukaryota; Metazoa; Chordata; Amphibia; Anura; Pelobatidae. The record is from the annotation of a GenBank genome assembly.
CUCACAUUCUUUGCUUUUGUUGCACCAACUUCUCAAGUUAAAAGGUUAAUCCAGACGUGAACAUCAACAUCAAUGUGCCUAGAGGGGUAUCAUCUACACCUCACUGACAAGGCCCAAAGAAGGCCAAAACAUCUGUCCGGGGUUGCUGUAUCUCUCACGCAGAGGUGGGGGGAGAGCUUGUGCUUUGUCAGGGGCCCCAAAAUUUCUGAUGGCGGCUCUGGUAAUCUGUUUAACAUUUUAACUGCACAUGGUAACUCCAGAUCUUGCAAAAACUUCACUGAAAUUAAGUUCUUAUGGUGCUGGAAUUGGGGCAGAUUGUUCUGUUCACAGCUUAUUGUAUUGCUUCUGUUGCCUAUGCUCUAUCAAUACAGACGUAAUAACAAAAAUGUGAAAAAAGAGCUAG